Molecule: long non-coding RNA, 394 nt
Organism: Hydractinia symbiolongicarpus
Lineage: Eukaryota; Metazoa; Cnidaria; Hydrozoa; Anthoathecata; Hydractiniidae
Exons: 3
Source: RefSeq, a predicted model, not a curated record
GAACGAAGUGAGUAGACAAACAUACAAAGCUUUAUACGGCUGGCUGUAAGCUUUUAUUGGACCCACUCUGGGUUUGUUUAUCACCAGUUUUUGCGACAAUGUCUUCAAUUCGUGCCACUGUUACAAACUUAUCAGGCUUUGCCAGACACACUACACAAAAAGGAAAGUCCUGGGGACCUACAAUGGCUGCAUGGGGAGGUGGCCUUGCAUUGGUUGGUCUUUUUCUCACAGAUUGGAAAGUGAUCACAGCAUACAUCCCAUACAUUAAAGAUAAAUAUGAUCACAAGGUUCCGCGCUGAUCAAAGCAAUGUUUCAAUGGUGUAUGAAGCGUACAAAACUGUUUAAGUGCUUCAUGGAUGUUGUAUAGUUAUUGAAAUAUAAUUCUUCUGUUAAA